This is a non-coding RNA of Urocitellus parryii (Arctic ground squirrel), 345 nucleotides long. The record is from RefSeq and is a predicted model, not a curated record. Lineage: Eukaryota; Metazoa; Chordata; Mammalia; Rodentia; Sciuridae.
UUCUUAUCUCGUUUUGGGCCGGAGGCCUCUAUUGCAAACAUGCUCCGCCAGAUCAUUGGUCAGGCCAAGAAGCAUCCAAGCUUGAUUCCCCUCUUUGUAUUUAUUGGAGCAGGAGGUACUGGAGCAGCACUGUAUGUGAUGCGUCUGGCAUUGUUCAAUCCAGAUGUCAGCUGGGACAGGAAGAAUAAUCCAGAACCCUGGAAAAAACUGGGUCCUAAUGAUCAAUACAAGUUCUACUCAGUGAAUGUUGAUUACAGCAAACUGAAGAAAGAAGGCCCAGACUUUAAAUGAAACAUUUCACUGUAAAGCUGCUUAUGAUAAAGGUCUUUGAGAAGCAUCUGCACA